This 117-nucleotide ribosomal RNA is filed under the name Sinocyclocheilus grahami. The record is from RNAcentral. Lineage: Eukaryota; Metazoa; Chordata; Actinopteri; Cypriniformes; Cyprinidae.
UCCAGCAGCCAUAUCACCCUGUAGCCCAAGACUGGUUGCCCACUAAAGCUAAGCAGAGCUGAGCCUGGUCAGUACCUGGAUGGGAGACCUCCUGAGAAAACUAGGUUGCUGCUGGAA